This is a long non-coding RNA of Dinoponera quadriceps, 182 nucleotides long. RefSeq lists it as uncharacterized. The record is from RefSeq and is a predicted model, not a curated record. NCBI's taxonomy places the organism in Eukaryota, Metazoa, Arthropoda, Insecta, Hymenoptera, Formicidae. The transcript has 2 exons.
GAAAUAUGAAAAUGUCAGAUGCAUGAGAUAGAUAAUAAGUGUGUUUAUCUACCAAGAGAAAUGAUGAUAGUCUAUGACAAAAAAUGAAGGAAACUGAAGACUUCUACAAUAAUAAGAAUCGCCCUAAAUCACGUUGAAAUCUUCCAUGAUCAUUGAUAUCCAUUGGCAGAUAUGAUUUAAAG